UGGGGAAUAUUGCACAAUGGGCGAAAGCCUGAUGCAGCGACGCCGCGUGCGGGAUGAAGGCCUUCGGGUUGUAAACCGCUUUUAAUUGGGAGCAAGCGAGAGUGAGUGUACCUUUUGAAUAAGCACCGGCUAACUACGUGCCAGCAGCCGCGGUAAUACGUAGGGUGCAAGCGUUAUCCGGAAUUAUUGGGCGUAAAGAGCUCGUAGGCGGUUUGUCACGCCUGGUGUGAAAGUCCAUCGCUUAACGGUGGAUCUGCGCCGGGUACGGGCAGGCUAGAGUGCAGUAGGGGAGAUUGGAAUUC
RNAcentral lists this ribosomal RNA (302 nucleotides) under uncultured bacterium. RNAcentral's name for it is "partial 16S ribosomal RNA". It matches the Rfam family "Bacterial small subunit ribosomal RNA", at positions 355 to 669 of the family's 1533-position model. The record is from RNAcentral.